This 493-nucleotide ribosomal RNA is filed under the name uncultured bacterium. RNAcentral's name for it is "bacterial SSU rRNA". It matches the Rfam family "Bacterial small subunit ribosomal RNA", at positions 107 to 598 of the family's 1533-position model. The record is from RNAcentral.
CGAGUAACACGUAAGCAACCUGCCCUGCAGUGGGGGAUAACAGCGGGAAACUGCUGCUAAUACCGCAUAGGCAUAUUUCUGGGCAUCCAGGGAUGUGUAAAGGCUAGACUGCUGCAGGAGGGGCUUGCGGCCUAUUAGCUAGUCGGUGGGGUAACGGCCUACCGAGGCGACGAUGGGUAGCUGGUCUGAGAGGAUGGUCAGCCGGAUCGGGACUGAGACACGGCCCGGACUCCUACGGGGGGCAGCAAUCAGGAAUAUUGCGCAAUGGGGGAAACCCUGACGCAGCGACGCCGCGUGCGGGAUGAAGGCCUUCGGGUCGUAAACCGCUGUUGUGGGAGACGAAUGACUGUCGAUGAGGCAGUGGAGACGGUAUCUCACGAGGAAGCCCCGGCUAACUACGUGCCAGCAGCCGCGGUAAUACGUAGGGGGCGAGCGUUGUCCGAAGUUACUGGGCGUAAAGCGCGCGUAGGCGGCUCUUUAAGUGACUGGUGAA